UAUUAUUUUGUAGCAACGAAAACUCGGGCUUUGUUUUGAUUUGGUUAAAGUCGAAAUUAAAUCGAAAAAAUGAAGCGUUCCCGUGCUCCUCGAAUGAGUAAACUUUUUGGUUUGAAUAAAAGUGCUCCGGUUGCAAAAAGAUCAAAAAAGAAGAACUUGACAUCCUCUAAAGAUUCCCCAGAUAUUCUCCAACUUCCCUCAUCAAUUGUCUGUGAUGAAGUUCCUGCUACAGAUGAUAUUGUAUUGUGUUCAAAUUUUGUGAAAUCGGACACCGUAGAACAUCAUGCAUCCAACGAGGAGACAUUUGGAAACAUAGCCGCUCAUGACGAACUAGUAGCAAUGGAAAAAACAUUAUCAAGUGAAAUGAUAAAAAACGACAAGUU
This is a long non-coding RNA of Ochlerotatus camptorhynchus, 383 nucleotides long. RefSeq lists it as uncharacterized. The transcript has 3 exons. The record is from RefSeq and is a predicted model, not a curated record. Lineage: Eukaryota; Metazoa; Arthropoda; Insecta; Diptera; Culicidae.